RNAcentral lists this ribosomal RNA (505 nucleotides) under uncultured bacterium. Its description in RNAcentral is "partial 16S ribosomal RNA". It matches the Rfam family "Bacterial small subunit ribosomal RNA", at positions 28 to 507 of the family's 1533-position model. The record is from RNAcentral.
GACGAACGCUGGCGGCGUGCCUAAUACAUGCAAGUCGAACGCACAGUUUAUACCGUAGCUUGCUACACCAUAAACUGUGAGUUGCGAACGGGUGAGUAACGCGUAGGUAACCUGCCUGGUAGCGGGGGAUAACUAUUGGAAACGAUAGCUAAUACCGCAUAAUAUUGAUUAUUGCAUGAUAAUUGAUUGAAAGAUGCUAUUGCAUCACUACCAGAUGGACCUGCGUUGUAUUAGCUAGUAGGUGAGGUAACGGCUCACCUAGGCGACGAUACAUAGCCGACCUGAGAGGGUGAUCGGCCACACUGGGACUGAGACACGGCCCAGACUCCUACGGGAGGCAGCAGUAGGGAAUCUUCGGCAAUGGACGAAAGUCUGACCGAGCAACGCCGCGGGAGUGAAGAAGGUUUUCGGAUCGUAAAGCUCUGUUGUAAGAGAAGAACGGGUGUGAGAGUGGAAAGUUCACACUGUGACGGUAUCUUACCAGAAAGGGACGGCUAACUACGUG